UUCUCUUUAAACCCCCCUUUCCCUCGACUUGCCCUUGGACCGUGGCCCUCGCCUACGGGCGGAGAUGGAAAACAAAGAGGAUAAAAGGUAAAAUGGAUUGACUGCCGCCACGAUCGUUCCCCCCCGCUCUCCAGCCGCUACCCCUCCCCAUCAUUCGAAGUACACCUGAACGGCUUUCCCAAGGAGAUAAAGAUAAAGAUGACCUGGGACAUAUAUGGACUGCCCCUUUCAUCCAAGCAGCUACCCCUCUCCACCAUUCUUUGAUGUACAGAUGAAUUGUUCUUUCUCCUUUUUUUUUUUUUGUAAAUAAACUCCCCGGCUUUUUAUGGUGUUAUUAUUUUAAGUGUUUGUGCUAGUUUUGUCCGCGUUUCAAGUCCCAGUGUCAGUGUUUACGUGUGUGAUAGGGUUA
Long non-coding RNA from Drosophila rhopaloa, 409 nucleotides. RefSeq lists it as uncharacterized. The record is from RefSeq and is a predicted model, not a curated record. Lineage: Eukaryota; Metazoa; Arthropoda; Insecta; Diptera; Drosophilidae. The transcript is spliced from 3 exons.